UUCGUCUGAAGUGAGAGCGGCGCACGGGCUGAGUAACGCGUACGGAAUCUACCGAUAGUUGGGGGAUAGCCCUGGGAAACUGGGAGUAAUCCGCCAUAUCUUUAUGGAAUGGCAUCAUUUUAUAAAGAAAGCUGAGGCGACUAUUGAUGAUCGUGCGUCUGAUUAGGUAGUUGGUAGGGUAACGGCCUACCAAGCCGACGAUCAGUAGGGGGCGUGAGAGCGUGGCCCCCCACACGGGUACUGAGACACGGACCCGACUCCUACGGGAGGCAGCAGUAAGGAAUAUUGGUCAAUGGGCGAAAGCCUGAACCAGCCAUCCCGCGUGCAGGAUGAAUGCCCUAUGGGUUGUAAACUGCUUUUAUCUGGGAAUAAACCACUCUAUUUAUGGGGUGUUGAAGGUACCAGAAGAAUAAGCACCGGCUAACUCCGUGCCAGCAGCCGCGGUAAUACGGAGGGUGCAAGCGUUAUCCGGAAUCACUGGGUUUAAAGGGUGCGUAGGCGGCCAUGUAAGUCAGAGGUGAAAGGCUACAGCUUAACUGUGGAAUUGCCUUUGAUACUGUGUGGCUUGAAUAAGGAUGAGGUUGGCGGAAUGUGGCAUGUAGCGGUGAAAUGCAUAGAUAUGCCAUAGAACACCAAUUGCGAAGGCAGCUGACUGGACCUUUAUUGACGCUGAGGCACGAAAGCGUGGGGAUCAAACAGGAUUAGAUACCCUGGUAGUCCACGCCCUAAACGAUGCUCACUCGCUGU
Molecule: ribosomal RNA, 747 nt
Filed under: uncultured Bacteroidota bacterium
Lineage: Bacteria; Pseudomonadati; Bacteroidota
Description: bacterial SSU rRNA
Rfam family: Bacterial small subunit ribosomal RNA
Source: RNAcentral